Molecule: ribosomal RNA, 253 nt
Filed under: uncultured bacterium
Lineage: Bacteria
Description: partial 16S ribosomal RNA
Rfam family: Bacterial small subunit ribosomal RNA
Source: RNAcentral
UACAGAGGUCUCGAGCGUUAAUCGGAGUUACUGGGCUUAAAGGGCGCGUAGGCGGCGCUGUAAGUGCCUUGUGAAAUCCCAUGGCUUAACCUUGGAAUUGCUCGGCAGACUGCAGUGCUUGAGGUCGGUAGGGGUCGCUGGAACUCUAGGUGGAGCGGUGAAAUGCGUAGAGAUGCGGAGGAACACCGGUGGCGAAGGCAGCCCCCUGGGCUGACACUGACGCUCAGGCACGAAAGCGUGGGGAGCAAACAGG